GAUCAGAGGACAGAGGAGGGCGGUGCGUAGCAGGGAAUGGAGGGACGGGAGAAGGAGAGGGGAAGUGGGGAAGGCGGGAUGGGAUCAGAAAACAGAGGCGGGCAGU
Molecule: non-coding RNA, 106 nt
Organism: Chelonoidis abingdonii (Abingdon island giant tortoise)
Lineage: Eukaryota; Metazoa; Chordata; Testudines; Testudinidae
Source: RefSeq, a predicted model, not a curated record